RNAcentral lists this ribosomal RNA (523 nucleotides) under uncultured bacterium. RNAcentral's name for it is "bacterial SSU rRNA". It matches the Rfam family "Bacterial small subunit ribosomal RNA", at positions 17 to 518 of the family's 1533-position model. The record is from RNAcentral.
UUAUGGCUCAGAACGAACGCUGGUAGCGUGGAUUAGGCAUGCAAGUCGAACGGGAUCGGGGGGUUAGCAAUAAGUCUCCGUGAGAGUGGCGGAUUGGGGAGGAACACGUGAGCAACCUGCCUUGAGUUGGGGAAAACCGUUGGAAACGACGGCUAAUACCGGAUGUGGCGCCUGGCGACAUCGCCGGAGCGCUAAAGGGGGCCCAAAAGGCUCCCGCUCGAGGAGGGGCUCGCGCACCAUCAGCUUGUUGGCGGGGUAACGGCCACCAAGGCGCACGGUUAGCUGGUCUGAGAGGAUGACCAGCCCCACUGGGACUGAGAUACUGCCCAGACUCCUACGGGAGGCUGCAGUCGAGGAUCAUUUGCAAUGGGCGAAAGCCUGACAAUGCGACGCUGCGUGGAGGGAAUGAAGGCCUUCGGGUUGUAAACUCCUGUCAUGGGGGAACAGGCGAGGGGAGUCAAUACCUCCCUUAGUUGAGUGUACCCCAAGAGGAAUUGGCGGCUAACUCUGUGCCAGCCGCUGC